CGCGGGAUGGAGCAGUUUGGUAGCUCGUCGGGCUCAUAACCCGGAGGCCGUGGGUUCAAAUCCCUCUCCCGCAACCA
RNAcentral lists this transfer RNA (77 nucleotides) under Haploplasma axanthum. Its description in RNAcentral is "Acholeplasma axanthum tRNA-Met(cat)". It matches the Rfam family "tRNA". From Rfam's summary of the family: Transfer RNA (tRNA) molecules are approximately 80 nucleotides in length. Lineage: Bacteria; Bacillati; Mycoplasmatota; Mollicutes; Acholeplasmatales; Acholeplasmataceae. The record is from RNAcentral.